Unclassified non-coding RNA from Pongo abelii (Sumatran orangutan), 147 nucleotides. It matches the Rfam family "Metazoan signal recognition particle RNA". From Rfam's summary of the family: The signal recognition particle (SRP) is a universally conserved ribonucleoprotein. It is involved in the co-translational targeting of proteins to membranes. The eukaryotic SRP consists of a 300-nucleotide 7S RNA and six proteins: SRPs 72, 68, 54, 19, 14, and 9. The record is from Ensembl. NCBI's taxonomy places the organism in Eukaryota, Metazoa, Chordata, Mammalia, Primates, Hominidae.
GCCGGGCAUGGUGCACGCGCCUGUAGUCCCAGUUACUCAGGAGGCUGAUUCAGGAGGAUCGCUUGAGACCAGGAGUCCGAGGCUGCAGUGAGCUGUGAUCAUGCCACUGCACUCCAGCCUGGGCAAUACAGCAAUAUCCUGUCUCUA